GUCGUAACAAGGUUUCCGUAGGUGAACCUGCGGAAGGAUCAUUAUUGAAAUACUUCGGUAAAUCAGAUUGUGAUGAAUAUAUAUACCCUUAAUGUUGAUCUAUUACCAUGUUGCUUCCACCUGGUGGUUUGGUGCUGUGUGUGUGUGUGAUGUGUGUGUGUGUGUGGGUGCGUGCGUGUGUGUGGAGGGGGUGGCGCUGUGGGUAGUACAUUUUGCCUUGCUUUGCUUUGCUUGUAUGUUCUGCCACUGCCACUGCCACUGCCAUUGCCAUUGCCACCGCUACAGCCACCGCCAUCACCACCUCCCCACCCACCUCCUGGUGGAUGGCCUUUUAUACAUUCUUUAUAAAUAGCAUUGUAGUAUAUGUUUUUCUGAAAUUAUUUAUAUAUAAUAAAUUAAAACUUUCAACAACGGAUCUCUUGGCUCCUGCAUCGAUGAAGAACGCAGCGAAAUGCGAUAAUUAAUGUGAAUUGCAGAAUUCAGUGAAUCAUCGAGUCUUUGAACGCACAUUGCGCCUCUGGGUGUACCUUGAGGCAUGCCUGUCUGAGCGCCUGAAAGAAGCCUCUCAACAAUGUCUUUGUUAUUGAGAUAUUCGUUGGAUAGCAUCAAAGAAGUAUUUUUCUUUUUUUUCCUUUAUUAUGGGAGGAAAGGGAAACAAAACUCUUUGUAAAUGUAUGGUUAGGGUUAAUUCUGUAGAUACCGAAUUAUGGGAGACUUUUUAUUGUCAAGUAUUGGUUUAUAUAUCUAUGANNNNUAUCCUUNNCCAUUUAGUUUUUCUUUGGAAAAAAGAAAAAUUAUAAAAAAACAUGAACUGGGCCUCAGAUCAGGUAGGGAUACCCGCUGAACUUAAGCAUAUCAAUAAGCGGAGGAAAAGAAACCAACAGGGAUUGCCUCAGUAACGGCGAGUGAAGCGGCAAAAGCUCAGAUUUUAAAUCUAGUGUCCUUUGGACAUUCGAGUUGUAAUCUGUAGAGAGGUGUUCGAGUAGUGUCUAGGCUCAAGUUCCUUGGAACAGGAUGUCAUGGAGGGUGAGAAUCCCGUGAAUGGCCUUGAAUCUUACUGCUCAUUGUGAACCUUCUUCAACGAGUCGAGUUGUUUGGGAAUGCAGCUCUAAAUGGGUGGUAAAUUUCAUCUAAAGCUAAAUACUGGCAGGAGACCGAUAGCGCACAAGUAGAGUGAUCGAAAGAUGAAAAGAACUUUGGAAAGAGAGUUAAAUAGUACGUGAAAUUGUUGAAAGGGAAGCACUUGCUCCCAGACUUGCCUGUAGCUGAUCAGCCUUCAUUCUUUGUGGGUGCACUCGGUUAAUUUGGGCAGGCCAGCAUCAGUUUAGACAGAGGGAAAAGGCCUAGGGGAAUGUGACUCUCUUUGGAGAGUGUUAUAGCCUCUGGUGUGUAAUAUCUCUAGUCCUGGACUGAGGACCGCGCUUUGAUUUUUAUUUUUGAAGUGAGGAUGCUGGCAUAAUGGUCGUAAGUGACC
Molecule: ribosomal RNA, 1474 nt
Filed under: uncultured fungus
Lineage: Eukaryota; Fungi
Description: eukaryotic LSU rRNA
Rfam family: Eukaryotic large subunit ribosomal RNA (bases 814-1474)
Source: RNAcentral